UCCAGUCCCUGUACACAGUUAUUCCUCAUAAGUUAGGAAUUGAACAUUGUUUACAUUUUCUUGUCUUGAGGACAGAUCCCAACCGACCUUCUUCUUUCCUAGCUGAACUCAUGAGGUUGUUGCUCACCAGAAACUACUUCAAGCUUGACAAUGCCUUCCUUCAGUGUAGUGGGACAGCCAUGGGCACAAGAUUGGCACCCUUGAACUUCCCUAAUCUACACCUCGGGGUGACCUACAGUCCCUGUCCUUUCAUCAAUUUUUGAAACCAUUACAGAACACCUGUGCUUCACUAUGGAACAUGACGAGGAAGGACGAGACUUCAUGGACGUGCACAUCACCAAAAUAGGUGGAGACAUUGACCACAGCACACUACAUCCUGAGUUCCAACCAGUAUGGUCUACCACACUGUCUCAUUA
This 416-nucleotide long non-coding RNA is filed under the name Salmo salar (Atlantic salmon). Its description in RNAcentral is "lncRNA (ENSSSAG00000121358.1)". Lineage: Eukaryota; Metazoa; Chordata; Actinopteri; Salmoniformes; Salmonidae. The record is from RNAcentral.